UAUGAGUGGCGAGCGGGUGAGAUACACGUGGGCAAUGCUGCCUCAAGCUGGGGAUAACAUUUGGAAACAGAUGCUAAUACCGAAUAAAACUUAGUGUCGCAUGACACAAGAGUUAAAAGGCGCUUCGGCGUCACCUAGAGAUGGAUCCGCGGUGCAUUAGUUAGUUGGUGGGGUAAAGGCCUACCAAGACAAUGAUGCAUAGCCGAGUUGAGAGACUGAUCGGCCACAUUGGGACUGAGACACGGCCCAAACUCCUACGGGAGGCUGCAGUAGGGAAUCUUCCACAAUGGGCGAAAGCCUGAUGGAGCAACGCCGCGUGUGUGAUGAAGGCUUUCGGGUCGUAAAGCACUGUUGUAUGGGAAGAACAGCUAGAAUAGGAAAUGAUUUUAGUUUGACGGUACCAUACCAGAAAGGGACGGCUAAAUACGUGCCAGCAGCCGCGGUAAUACGUAUGUCCCGAGCGUUAUCCGGAUUUAUUGGGCGUAAAGCGAGCGCAGACGGUUUAUUAAGUCUGAUGUGAAAGCCCGGAGCUCAACUCCGGAAUGGCAUUGGAAACUGGUUAACUUGAGUGCAGUAGAGGUAAGUGGAACUCCAUGUGUAAGCGGUGGAAUGCGUAGAUAUAUGGAAGAACACCAGUGGCGAAGGCGGCUUACUGGACUGCAACUGACGUUGAGGCUCGAAAGUGUGGGUAGCAAACAGGAUUAGAUACCCUGGUAGUCCACACCGUAACGAUGAACACUAGGUGUUAGGAGGUUCCCGCCUCUUAGUGCCGAAGCUACGCAUUAGGUGUUCCGCCUGGGAGUUCGACCGCCAGGUUGAAACUUCAA
This 827-nucleotide ribosomal RNA is filed under the name uncultured Leuconostoc sp. RNAcentral describes it as "bacterial SSU rRNA". It matches the Rfam family "Bacterial small subunit ribosomal RNA", at positions 90 to 905 of the family's 1533-position model. The record is from RNAcentral. Lineage: Bacteria; Bacillati; Bacillota; Bacilli; Lactobacillales; Lactobacillaceae.